GCACUAGUAGCUCAGUCUUUAGAGCAUCGGCCUUGUAAGCCGAACGUCGAGGGUUAAAAUCCCCCCUGGUGCU
Molecule: transfer RNA, 73 nt
Filed under: Acanthaphritis unoorum
Lineage: Eukaryota; Metazoa; Chordata; Actinopteri; Pempheriformes; Percophidae
Description: tRNA-Thr
Rfam family: tRNA
About the family: Transfer RNA (tRNA) molecules are approximately 80 nucleotides in length.
Source: RNAcentral